Long non-coding RNA from Neofelis nebulosa (Clouded leopard), 1880 nucleotides. RefSeq lists it as uncharacterized. The record is from RefSeq and is a predicted model, not a curated record. Lineage: Eukaryota; Metazoa; Chordata; Mammalia; Carnivora; Felidae. The transcript has 3 exons.
UGCAGGUCCAGAGCAGUCCAUGAAGGCUGUAACAGUGCUCCCCCCCAGCCCCCAGGAAGAUGUCUGUGCUUACGGCGAGGUGCCCCUGUGACUUUGGGGAGAAGGACGCUCCUUCAAGGAGCUGCCUCUACCUGGUCUCAUCUGGCAGGAAAUGCACAGUGGGUAAGGGUCGAGCACCUUGGUCUUGGCACCAGGCUGGUCACCUCUCCCAGAACUCAGUCAUAUUUCUGCACUGUUCUACCUUACCAGGAAGGAAGCUCUUUUUCUCAAUUUCCUUUAAAGGUACAUUCCCUUAUCAGCCUGCCAACCUCCUGCAAUCGAACUCCGGGGCUGCAAACAGUGAGUAAACAUACAAGCUGCUCCUGCUUUGAUGCCCCCAGGAAAUGUCACAACUCACUCGGUUCUGUGAGCGGGCCCAGCCACAGCUGACCUCUGCCCAGAGCUGACCCUGCCAGAGCAUCCUUGUCCCAUCCCUCUAGGCCCCUGCCUGUGUGCCUGGCCGGUGACAAGGCCAAGUCAGAUGCCCUUCUACUGUGAAGCCUUCCUGGACUCUGUGACAAGAAGUCUGACCAGAAGACGCCCUUCUCAAGGGGAGCAGCUGGGCACUGAGCAAAUGUCGCCCCAGGAUAUGCCUACCUGAGGCCAGGGCCCCGUCCCGGGAGACUCUCAUCCUGGCUGUGGGGCUGGCCUGGCACCAAGAAGUGCUGAAGCUCCACAGGGCAUUCUAUGGCUCCAUCAGGUGGCAGAACCACGGAUGGAGAGUUUUCUAGAUUUGUAUGCUUGCGGGAACUCCCCAGAGUGUCAAAGUACAACUUUAAAGGCUCCUCCACUAGCCCUGGGACGGGGCUGGGGCUCCCUGUUUUUAAGCACCCAAGGAGUCUCAGGGUUUGGCACACUUUAAAAGCCCUGCCGUUAUUCAACUGCAAAGAAGGAGCACAGAACUUGGGUCUCUGCCAUUUAUUAGCAGGGGCCACUGGGCAAGAAAAUAAUUGAUUUUCUUGGAACCUCCUGCCCCACUGCUGUCCCCCCCACCUCCUGAAGGUGGCAGCACUAAUGGAUGGAAGUGCCCACCUUCCGUGAUCUGGAGACUACCUACCGCCUCUCAGUGCGUGGAGACUGUGCGGUUUGCCAGCUCUCCACCAGACACCUGUGUCCCUUCCACUGCAGGCCACUGCUACCUGAGACAGCUGACAGGCUGACCUGCACAGGGGCCAAAGAUCUUCGUGCCCGUAGAUAAAUAGGCAAAGAAAAAAAAAAUCACACUCCACAGGGAGUUGAACACACCAGGCAGAGGAAAUGAAGAUGCAAAAAAGACAUUUAAUUUCUUUUUUAAAGACAUUUAAUUUCUUAAAAAAAGAAGUGUUAAAGAGAUACAGUAGAAUGUAAAAAGAUUUUCUUUUUUUUCCUUUUUUUAAAGUAGACCCCAUACCCAACGUGGGUCUUGAACUCACAACCCUGAGAUCAAGAGUCAGAUGCUCUAUGGACUGAGCCAGCCGGGUGCCCCUAAAAAGACCUUCUGCGGCCACAAAACAUGAUUUCUGAAUUGAAAAUUCAACAGAGAAAUGGGAAAAGAGAAGAGUCACUGUGAGAUCUAAUUUGUUUCCUGCACAAAAUGUAUUCAUUAAGGAAGUAAUUACUGAGCACCUGUCACAUGCCAGGCACUGCUCUGUACAAAAUGGAAGAAAACAUAACACAAAUACAGAGCAAACACACAAAGAAAUGGAAGCCAUGAUGGGGAUUACGGAGGGCACUUGUUGUGAUGAGCACUGGGUGUUUUAUGGAAGUGAUGAAUACUGUAUACCUAAAACAAAUAUGACACUGUAUGUUAACUAACUGGAAUUAAAAUAAAAACUUAAAAAGAAAAGAAAACACAAGAGACA